AAUUUGAAGAGUUUGAUCAUGGCUGAGAUUGUACGCUGGCGGCAGGCCUAACUCAUGCCAGUCGAGCGGUAGCACAGAGUGCUUGCUCUCGGGUGACGAGCGGCGGUCGGGUGAGUAAUGUCUGGGAAACUGCCAGAUGGAGGGGGAUAACUACUGGAAACGUGAGCUAAUACCGCAUAACGUCGCAAGACCAUAGUGGGGGACCUUCGGGCC
This 213-nucleotide ribosomal RNA is filed under the name Klebsiella pneumoniae. RNAcentral's name for it is "partial 16S ribosomal RNA". It matches the Rfam family "Bacterial small subunit ribosomal RNA", at positions 1 to 219 of the family's 1533-position model. Lineage: Bacteria; Pseudomonadati; Pseudomonadota; Gammaproteobacteria; Enterobacterales; Enterobacteriaceae. The record is from RNAcentral.